UACAGAGACUGCAAGCGUUAUUCGGAUUCACUGGGCGUAAAGGGUGCGCAGGCGGCCAAGUGUGUGAGGCGUGAAAGCCCGGGGCUUAACCCCGGAAUUGCACCUCAAACUACAUGGCUAGAGCAUUGGAGAGGGUAGCAGAAUUCACGGUGUAGCAGUGAAAUGCGUAGAUAUCGAGAGGAACACCAGUGGCGAAGGCGAGUCCCUGGACAACUCCUGACGCUGAGGCACGAAAGCUAGGGGAGCAAACAGG
This 253-nucleotide ribosomal RNA is filed under the name uncultured bacterium. RNAcentral describes it as "partial 16S ribosomal RNA". It matches the Rfam family "Bacterial small subunit ribosomal RNA", at positions 524 to 776 of the family's 1533-position model. The record is from RNAcentral.